Molecule: transfer RNA, 82 nt
Filed under: Priestia megaterium
Lineage: Bacteria; Bacillati; Bacillota; Bacilli; Caryophanales; Bacillaceae
Description: Bacillus megaterium tRNA-Cys(aca)
Source: RNAcentral
UCUUUUUUAUAGAAAACGGUUUCAAUUCUUAUUUCUACAACAAAUAAGGAAUGGUCGUAAUGUUGAAACAUUUAAAGACAGA